This is a transfer RNA of Punctularia strigosozonata HHB-11173 SS5, 91 nucleotides long. It matches the Rfam family "tRNA". From Rfam's summary of the family: Transfer RNA (tRNA) molecules are approximately 80 nucleotides in length. Their secondary structure includes four short double-helical elements and three loops (D, anti-codon, and T loops). Lineage: Eukaryota; Fungi; Basidiomycota; Agaricomycetes; Corticiales; Punctulariaceae. The record is from Rfam.
GGUGCUUUGCCUGAGUGGUUAAAGGGUGGGAUUUGAAUUGCUUACUAUCCCAUGGGCUUCGCCCGCGUAGGUUCGAACCCUGCAGGCACCG